RNAcentral lists this unclassified non-coding RNA (2216 nucleotides) under Leishmania donovani. RNAcentral describes it as "gene:LdHU3.26.2420(CDS-product:engulfment_and_cel l_motility_domain_2_putative)". Lineage: Eukaryota; Euglenozoa; Kinetoplastea; Trypanosomatida; Trypanosomatidae. The record is from RNAcentral.
GCUGCACACCUCCAUCUCUGUUCAGGCACGCCCGCACCCUCUCGCCGCCCACCGGCUCACAAGCGAAGGGCCCAGAGAAACAGGAGGACGUGCACAAAUCUUUUUCUUUUUGUUCCCCUUUGCCGAAAAGACAUUGUUCGCCGUUGCAGAGUAUCGCCCCCCUCCCCCUUCCUGCGAGAAUGGCUGAACCAACGUCGUCGUCCACCCUCCCUUCUACCCCCUUGCCGACUUCUUCGUCUCGCACGCCACACAUCAUUGCCGCUGCGGUGACAGCGGCUGCGGCACUCGGCGCUGGCAUACUUUUUGCGGUGGUGUCAAGCGGCAGUGCGGGUGAUGGCGGAGGCAGCCGACGUGCCUUCCGGUCUGAGGGCGCCAUCCAGGAGCCGCGACAGGCUGUCGUCGAGGCGCUGGAGGCAAUACGUGGUGGGCGGUGCAAGACUUGCGGCGAGCUCGUGUUCUUCCUGCGUGGCCCUCCCCAAUCUCCGGUGUCGCCAGCCGCUUUUCGUGGCGUUCUCGGGGCCGCGUCAGCCACCGCCAGUGAAAAGCUACCUCCGUCGAAUGCGCACUGCCUGCGAGUCCCAGCCUCCGUGCUACACUACAUCCAGGAGAGCUACUUGCCCGCGACGCGGCGUCAGCUGGUUGAGGCGCAGCAGAAACAGCAGCCCUCCCCCGCCACGCCUGCUCUGCAAGUAGAAUACAACCUCUUCGCGCAGAUGGUCGCUGCGGACGUGACACUGCGUGCGCUGAGCGUGGAGCGGGCGACUCCAUUCGACAAGGACAAUCGCAGCCACAUGAACCUUCUCCAGCAGCUGUGGAUGGCGGCAGGGAAGCCGGCGACGACGUACAGCCCUCUCGGGCAGCACUGGGCCAGCAUCGGCUUUCAGGGCGUAGACCCCGUGACAGACCUCCGCGGCGGCGGCGUACUGGCGCUCCGCCAGCUCGUGCACUUUGCGCAGGCGCACAACACCGCUUUUCGCGAGAUGCUCGCUUACAACGAGCGUGUGCAGCGGGAGGGCAAGCACAGCUGGUACCUGCUUGCCGUCGUCAGCAUCCAGCUCACCACCCAACUCAUGCUCGAGCAGGAUCACCCACUGCAUGUGGCGCAUCUGGAGAUGAUAUACGACACGCUGUGCCUCGGAGCUGCCGGCGAUGCGACGGCCAAGACUGCUGGCCGUCGUGCUGUGGCGGGGCAGAAGGGCGUGAGGCUCGGCAGCACACGCGCCGCGGAUACGGCGGCGUUUUGGGAGUUUUGCAAGAGCGCGCGCAGUGCCGAGGCGGGCAUGUUCGCGCUGCACCAUGCGCUGCUGCUUCACUUCAAGGAGUGCUGGACCCGGGACGAGCCGCACGUGAUGGAGUACAACACGUACAUGUCUGCCAAGGUGUUCAGCACCUUCUUCACCACGAAGUGGGCAGACAAAACGCUCACAGCGCCGUAGACGGAAGGGAAAGACGAGGGACGCGGAGGGGGGGGCGUCUGCUCUUCAUCUCACAAGGAGGCUUUGAAGAGCACGAGGACAGCGCAUGCCCCUAUGUGUGCGGUGUGUCCGCUGUUACUGCUGUGAUAGUGCAUGUCUACGUAUCUGUUUCUCGGGAGAUGUGCAUGCUUACUUGGCGUACUUGUGCUGCAGCAUGAUCAGACUGUCUUCCUCUCUUACUCUGGUGAAGGGGAACCGCUACAACCGAACAAGAGAACACCGGCACAUCCUUCUACUCUGCGAACAGAGGAGUGAACUCAGAGAGAGGAGCCUCACGCGCUGCGGAUACAAGAUGCCCACAGGCGGUACGCGGGAUGUGGCGUAGAUGUGGUCGGUACGUGAACGUGCGUGCCAUCAGAAUUGCGCUAAGUUGCACUUACCCCAACACCCGCAAACAUAUCCGCGGACAUCACGCGAUUCUCUCUCCCGCGCAUCGCCUUUCUUGCCUCGCCCCAGAAACGGACCAGCUGUUGUUGUGCGAUGAGCGGGUAGGCGGAGGGAGGGGGGAGUGCAGCAGAGGCAGUUUUGCAGUGACUCUUCUCCCUUCUCUCUAUCGUUUUGCAUUCUUAUUUGCGUAUCGGUGCGCACGUGGAUGUCCAUUUCUUCUGACUCUCUAUCCCCGCCUCUUUCCGUGCUCUCCCCGGUCUGCCGCACCGCCGUCACUCCCCCCAUUCUUCUUUUUCUCUCCCCCUCUCCAUCGCACACGCACACAUCCAUGCGGGAUGCGCCAUCGCAUGUCAG